GGAGAAAUACUCAAGUGGCUGAAGAGGCGCCCCUGCUAAGGGUGUAGACCGCUAACGCGGUGCGAGGGUUCAAAUCCCUCUUUCUCCG
RNAcentral lists this transfer RNA (88 nucleotides) under Butyrivibrio sp. RNAcentral's name for it is "tRNA-Ser". It matches the Rfam family "tRNA". From Rfam's summary of the family: Transfer RNA (tRNA) molecules are approximately 80 nucleotides in length. Their secondary structure includes four short double-helical elements and three loops (D, anti-codon, and T loops). Lineage: Bacteria; Bacillati; Bacillota; Clostridia; Lachnospirales; Lachnospiraceae. The record is from RNAcentral.